GCCUGCAGUACCUCACAUGUCCGCUAGAGGCUGACGCCGACAAAACUACACUUCGAUUGGACGCCUAAACGUCUCUGUAAAUUAGCAGUCUUUAAGGAAACAGGGCCGAGCAUCCAGCAGGAAGGGAUUCCUUCAAGCUCAGACAUCAACAACAUCCCGAAUAUUAAAGCCAUAGAGUAAAGUCAGAGGAAUGGGAGCGAGGAUGGAAAUUAUGCCAGACUUACCCUCUGCCAAGCUAUUGAUUGCAGAGGAAAAGAUACCCGGGACGUCUUUUCGUCACAGGAUGACCAAUCACCAUCUUCACUUUCAGAAGUUUCCGUAAAACCUAAAAUAGAGACGAGGAAUACUACAGUGUUUUCAUGUGCAAGACUGGACGUCUUAGUUUCCCUUUUCCUCCUUUGACUCAU
Molecule: long non-coding RNA, 407 nt
Organism: Maylandia zebra (zebra mbuna)
Lineage: Eukaryota; Metazoa; Chordata; Actinopteri; Cichliformes; Cichlidae
Source: RefSeq, a predicted model, not a curated record